UCCCAACCCCUGUGAACAUACCUAUCGUUGCUUCGGCGGAUCCGCCCCGGCGCCCUCGGGCCCGGAUCAGGCGCCCGCCGGAGACCCAAACUCUUGUAUUUCUUUAGUAUCUUCUGAGUAAACAAGCAAAUAAAUUAAAACUUUCAACAACGGAUCUCUUGGUUCUGGCAUCGAUGAAGAACGCAGCGAAAUGCGAUAAGUAAUGUGAAUUGCAGAAUUCCGGGAAUCAUCGAAUCUUUGAACGCACAUUGCGCCCGCCAGUAUUCUGGCGGGCAUGCCUGUUCGAGCGUCAUUUCAACCCUCAAGCCCCCGGGCUUGGUGUUGGGGCUCGGCCCGUCCCUCGUGGCGCGCCGUCCCCGAAAUCUAGUGGCGGUCACGCUGUACUCCUCUGCGUAGUAAUCUAACCUCGCAACGGGACAAAGCCUGGCCACGCCGUUAAACCCCCCACUUCUGAAGGUUGACCUCGGAUCAGGUAGGAAUACCCGCUAACUUAAGCAUAUCAAAAUUGGGAGGA
RNAcentral lists this ribosomal RNA (514 nucleotides) under Fusarium merismoides. RNAcentral's name for it is "eukaryotic LSU rRNA". The stretch from base 139 to 292 matches the Rfam family "5.8S ribosomal RNA". Lineage: Eukaryota; Fungi; Ascomycota; Sordariomycetes; Hypocreales; Nectriaceae. The record is from RNAcentral.